AUCCAUCCCCUCCCAAUACACUCCAACACUUUCUUAUGAUAAAGAUCUAGGAAAUAACGGCACUUCCAGUCAGGGGAGGCUACAAUAAAACUGACCUGUUGUGAAAUAAUGCUUGAUUUUAAUAAGUAACAAGUGAUUUGACUGGUGCAGGCCGUCAAAACAAAGGCACUUCGUCCAUAUAGUCAUUUUUUGACGAAAAUGAAAACGUGUCAGUUUGUAACCUUCACGAGGUUGGAGUAAUAACAUGUUCAACUACUUAAGACAUUGGCUCGAAUCUAGAUUGUGUCUUUAGGUUUCGAGACAAUUAACAGCAAAGGAAGAAUUUUUCACUUUUCUCAUUGACUUCUCAAACCCGACCCUGUCUGUUUCGCAAGCUCUUCCGGAAGUCACACAAUGAUGCGCCUCUGGGUUUAGGAACUCCAUGGUAGGGGUCGGGGUUGUUAGGGUAUGGAGGGCCCAAGUAUUCCGGAUAGGCCGACCAUUUCUUCUGUCCUCAGCUACAGCGUAGGCUGCCCCAGCUGAAAGAAAGUUGAAAUGGUGUUGAAAAUUCGGACCACGAGCUGAAGACAUGCAAUGACUUUUGCAAUAGCACGCUUGUUUCAUUUAUGCAUUUCAUAGUUGACAUAUUCUUUUGAGGGAUACUUCCUUGGAGUUAGGGCAAAGGUUCCAAUUAGCCACAGGAAUAAUUAUUUUCAGCCCAGCACCAGUUGAGAUGCUUGCUUAAAGUAAACGACAAUGUGAGGCGCACAUCUAGCGUUCUUUCUCUCUCCCUCACUUUCUCACUCAACGUCUCUCUCUCUCUGUCUCUGCCAGGCAGGUGAGGCCGAUGCCAUCACUCGUGAUGGAGGAGCCAAGACCGAGCUUAGCCACGAAAAAAGACUAUUCAAUUUGUUGAUUAUCGAAAGGAUCUUUGGUUUAGGCAGCUGCGAUGGAUAGUGGGGAGAUGUUCACUGCUGCAAAAUGUGGUCUGGUCCCUGCCAAGGUGGAACACUAUGACGCAGGUCUGUGCAGCUUCCCUGGUGAGGUGUCAUCGUACCAUGUGGUGGCGGUAGUGAGGAAGGACUCUGGAUCUGUUUUGUUACAUCCCUUACCCAGCUCAACUGUUACCUUCUCAAAAUGUUCAUCGGCUUCUCCGGUCAGUGCUCACUACCUGUAUAUCGAUGGGUGGUGGUGGACAGAACCCCUAGAUAACGUUCUAGUUCUGAAAACUCAGCUCACACAGAACUGGUUGGGGUAUUCAUUCAGACACGCACCUCUUUCACACUGGAGCUAGUCUCCUGACAGCUCUCAUUCACUCAGUAGUUAAUAGUGAUAAUAUCUCUUAUCUAAAUCCUCUUACUAUCCAAAUUUCAAUCCUCAGCUUAUUAUCCACAUUUCAAAUCAGCAUAACACGUCCUUUCCACACUCACACAGCUCUCACAUCCCCAUUCACUUAGUACUAUUCCCAAACGCACUCAGUAAUCUCCCUUAUUACCAUCUCUGUGCAUUUUCAAUGAUUCUCGUCGUUACUUGCUACACAUAUAAAAUAACAUCACGUGCUCAAUAACACCUUGUGCUAUUUGUAGUGGCUGCAGACCACGUAGACACUUCAACAAAGGCCUACAGACAGCUGUCAGUGGGACUUUCCAUGGUACCGUUACUCGCCCUCGCUCUAGUCUUCUCACCAUAAGACUAGUUAAUAGCCUUCUCAUUAGACUAUGGGUACCUUUUUAUUGUUCAAUUUAGUUGGUUUUAUGAUAUACAGUACCAGUAUAAAGUUUGGACACACCUACUCCUUCAAGGGUUUUUCUUUAUCUUUUCUAUUUUCUACAUUGUAGCAUAAUGUA
Long non-coding RNA from Oncorhynchus tshawytscha (Chinook salmon), 1826 nucleotides. RefSeq lists it as uncharacterized. Lineage: Eukaryota; Metazoa; Chordata; Actinopteri; Salmoniformes; Salmonidae. The transcript is spliced from 4 exons. The record is from RefSeq and is a predicted model, not a curated record.